UAAAUUACCAUUUUCUUUCCUCCUACUCCUCACGGGUCCUUCAAAGAAAUUAUCAAGUUUGUUUCAAGUUCCAAAUCAAGAAUCAAGGUGUGUAAAUUUUGUUUAUUUCCUCCAUUUAAUUUUUCGAGGAUUACAUUCUAACACCUAGCAUCAUUUAUGCAGAAGCCACAAAUCCUCAUCUGCCUCUUCAAGGUUAUUUCCAGCAUAAACAACUUCUUUUAGAUUAUUGUUGCUUCAAUUACAUCAUCUUAUCAAGCAUCAGAGGACCACCAACAAACAAACACACACUCAUAAUCAUUAUUUUCACCUAACUAUUACAAUUACAAGGAUUUCAAGAUCUGAUAAAAAGAAAUGAUGAAAGAACAGAAUUUCUAAACAAAAACCCUAACUUUACUAUAUGUGAAUCUGGACUGAAAUUGGGCCUUCUUGUGUCUUUAUUGUGUUGUGAUCGGGGGACGGAGGGAGGAGUGAGAGCAGCCGACGGCUGCUCAGGGCCGGCGACGGCGACGGCGACGGCUCGGCGGCAAGCCGCCGCCUUUUCUUUUUUCUGUCAGACAUUGGGAGGAGAGGAGAAAGAUUAAUUGAGUUUUAGAUUUAGAAAAGAGAGAAAAGGGGAAUAAGUAGGAAAGGGGAAAGGACUUAUCUUCUCCGGCAGAGACGGCGGCGACGCGGCGGAAGCAGCGGCACGAGCGGCGGCCCUUCGGGAUGCCGUUGCUCGACCGGCCGAGGGGGAGAAAGAAGAGCAGGCAGCGGUGCUGUUGAGGUCGUCGCGGCGGCACUGUGGUCGCCGGGGUGACUGCCCACCGCGAGCAGGAAGAGAGAGAGAGAUACCGAGAGGGGAUGGGCCGUGAGGAGGCGCGGCUGCCGUCGAUUCACCGGGACAGGAGCAGGACGACGGCGAUAUGCCGGACCUUCGCCGAUCUCGGGCGGCGGCGGCAGAAACGAGGAGAGGGAGAGAGAUGAGCUGUGUGUGUGUGCGUUUCUUGAAGUGAGAGGGAGAGACGUGAGAGAGGCGAGAGAGAUGAGUGUUGUGUGUGCUGAGUGUGUGUGUUUGUGUAUAUAUGUUAGUAUUAGAUUUUUUUUUUUAAUUUGGGCUUAAGCCCUAUAAUGAGGAUGGGCCGAAAAUUUUAAAAAAAAAAGAGUGGGCCGAUUUUAUUUUAUUUCUGUUGGGCCCAUUUUGCCUUUAAAUCUGAUGGGUUUUUAUUUAAUAGGUUUAGGCCCAAUUUUAAUUAAGUUUUGAGCUGUUAUUUAAAUAUAGGCCUACGAAUUUUGGCCUUAAUUCUAUAAAAAAAAAUGUUUGAUUUUUCACUAAAUUAUUUAGUGAAUUUAAAUCUCUUGAUUUAAAUUUUAAUAUUGGGAGUUGGAUUAUUUAUUCUAAAUGAAGUCCAUUCUAUUAUUUAAAUUAUUAAUGGACUUUAAAGCAAAUAUUUUGGGAUUAAGCCCCAUUUAUUACAUGAUAAAAUUAUUUUCAAAGCUUACGAGUAUGGAUUUUUUUUAAUGGUUAAAAUGUUUUAUUUCAUCUCAAUGGAUUUUAAAAUGUUUUAUUAUUUAUAAAUGAAUAAUGGAAUUUCUUAUUUAUUUACAUAAAAAAAAAUGAAAUGUAUAGAAUAUUAUAAAUAUGGUUUCUUUUAAAAGAAAAAGGAUUAAAUUAUUUUAUGAGUAAUUCCAUUAUAAUGGAAUUAAAAUGUCCUAUUAGAAUGGCUUCAUGUUUUAAAAAAAUAUUGAGACUAUUUAUGUGGAAUUGUGUUAUAGAAUGAUUAAGUAUAUGUAUUUACUUUAUCAAAUGAGCUUGGGAUUUAAUUGAGAUAUUAAAUUGCUAAGCAUAUGUUUAUAAAUGAUUUAUUUAUUUAAAGUGAUGAAAAUGUGNUUUGAAUCCGUUUGUAGAUUUAAAGGAUUAUUGAGUAGUCAAUAAUUAUUAUUUUCGGAUUAUAACUGACUUAGCAAAGUCAUGUUAUUUAAUUUAUAUACGAUAGAAAUAGUAUUUUCUAUUAUUUAAUUGAAGUCAUGAUUAAUUUUUCGACUUAUAAAACGAGUUAUAAAAUAUGUAAUUUGUAGAGAGUUAUAACGAAGCUUCGUUAUAUGGAAACCCGGAAUUAGUAUUACAAAUACGUUAUCAUAUACUUUUCAUUUCCACAUACAUCUAUCUCUUAAAUAAAUUGAUGGUAUUGGAAACACUCAUCAUAUGCAAAUUAUUCCACUAAUUCCACUAAUUCCACUAAACACUCUUUACACUCAUCAUUGCCGGCCAUCUUCUACACUCAUUCCACUAAUAAUCAUUAUUCCACUACCUCCCACUACUACACCCUUUUUCCCCACCAAUACACCUAACUCUCCACACACUUCAUUUUUUUUAUUUCUACACCACUAUAUUCCAUAUUCAGUACUACAUCUUGCAGAUUCCUCAUUAAGAAAUCCUCUCUCUCUAAUCUUCUAAAUUACCAUUUUCUUUCCUCCUACUCCUCACGGGUCCUUCAAAGAAAUUAUCAAGUUUGUUUCAAGUUCCAAAUCAAGAAUCAAGGUGUGUAAAUUUUGUUUAUUUCCUCCAUUUAAUUUUUCGAGGAUUACAUUCUAACACCUAGCAUCAUUUAUGCAGAAGCCACAAAUCCUCAUCUGCCUCUUCAAGGUUAUUUCCAGCAUAAACAACUUCUUUUAGAUUAUUAUUGCUUCAAUUACAUCAUCUUAUCAAGCAUCAGAGGACCACCAACAAACAAACACACACUCAUAAUCAUUAUUUUCACCUAACUAUUACAAUUACAAGGAUUUCAAGAUCUGAUA
This 2775-nucleotide long non-coding RNA is filed under the name Salvia miltiorrhiza (redroot sage). RNAcentral's name for it is "long non-coding RNA (SMIL_LNC007556)". The record is from RNAcentral. Lineage: Eukaryota; Viridiplantae; Streptophyta; Magnoliopsida; Lamiales; Lamiaceae.